This 252-nucleotide ribosomal RNA is filed under the name uncultured bacterium. RNAcentral's name for it is "partial 16S ribosomal RNA". It matches the Rfam family "Bacterial small subunit ribosomal RNA", at positions 524 to 776 of the family's 1533-position model. The record is from RNAcentral.
UACGGAGGAUGCGAGCGUUAUCCGGAUUUAUUGGGUUUAAAGGGUGCGUAGGCGGAUCGUUAAGUCAGUGGUCAAAUUGAGGGGCUCAACCCCUUCCCGCCAUUGAAACUGGCGAUCUUGAGUGGAAGAGAAGUAUGCGGAAUGCGUGGUGUAGCGGUGAAAUGCAUAGAUAUCACGCAGAACCCCGAUUGCGAAGGCAGCAUGCCGGCUUCCGACUGACGCUGAAGCACGAAAGCGUGGGGAUCAAACAGG